ACCCCGCCCAUUCCAAAUAUU
Molecule: microRNA, 21 nt
Filed under: Prunus persica (peach)
Lineage: Eukaryota; Viridiplantae; Streptophyta; Magnoliopsida; Rosales; Rosaceae
Description: microRNA miRNA_192
Source: RNAcentral